RNAcentral lists this long non-coding RNA (485 nucleotides) under Ananas comosus (pineapple). RNAcentral's name for it is "long non-coding RNA (ACOM_LNC006971)". Lineage: Eukaryota; Viridiplantae; Streptophyta; Magnoliopsida; Poales; Bromeliaceae. The record is from RNAcentral.
GCUUCGCUUGGAGUUUCUUUCUCUGGUUUCCUACGAUACUCCUAAGCGAAGGAUCACCAUAAUCAUGAUGCUCUUCAUGACGGCGUCGUGGAUUCGGCGUAUUUGACGGCGGUUCGUGGAUUCGGAUCGUGAGCUCGUGGAUUCGAGUGGCGUCGUGGAUUCGGCGUGAUUGGAGCUUCGUGGAUUCGAAGUGGGGAGCGUUCGUGGAUUCGGACGUGAGGGCGUGGACAACCCAGAGGAUUGCGCGAGAUCCAUAGGAGGUCAAGAGAGGUUGAGUCCGUGGAGUCGGUAAAUCACCUUGUAAUCUUUUCUCUUAGUGGAUUGUUUUUUUUCGCGUGUUGGUCCCGUGGGUUUUUCUCCAAAUUGGAGUUUUCCCACGUAAAUCUCGGUGUGCUUUUUAUUUUCCGCAUUUAUUUUUAUUGCAUCGAGAUUUGUGGUUUUUGGUCGUUACACCUAUUCACCCCCCUCUAGGUGAUAGAUACAAU